Molecule: ribosomal RNA, 179 nt
Filed under: Moorella sp. (in: firmicutes)
Lineage: Bacteria; Bacillati; Bacillota; Clostridia; Neomoorellales; Neomoorellaceae
Description: partial 23S ribosomal RNA
Rfam family: Bacterial large subunit ribosomal RNA
Source: RNAcentral
GGUUUCCCACCCAGCACUCAACUGAGCUUGUCAGGCCAAUCCACUUAAGGGGAGAUUGGCACGCUCAGUUGAGUGCUGGGGUAAGACCCCUGGAAGACUACCAGGUAGAUAGGCCGGGAGUGUAAGGGGGGCAACCCUUUUAGCGGACCGGUACUAAUCGGUCGAGGGCUUGACCAUAA